GCCAAGAGUCCCCUGAACAAAUUGCACAUACUUGCUUGUCGUCACCUUUUAGAAACAAGGGUGGCAACAGGCAAUUCCGGUCGCAGGUUGGAACGGCCAAGGAGGCUCCCACCAAAGGAACUGAGGGUGGUCCCCCACUUGACCGCCAGCAACCUCUUAUGUCUUUGCCAAUGGAAUUGUCAAGGUCGGGGCUCAGUGACCUUUCCCAUUUAAAAAAAAAAAAAGAAAGAAAAAAUGAGCGCACCAUGUUUUUUGUCAAGCCGGCAUCUGUUUCCACGGAAACCUCAAAGACUCUGGAGUCAGCAGCAGAAAACCCUGGGCCUGGAUCGGCUUUGCCGUUGGCGACGUCCCAGGGCCUCGGCACGUCUGGACCACUGGGCCGGGGUUGUCGUUAGAGAGAAACAGCUAGUGACUUCUCUACUUGUAUCUGAAAAUCAUGCUCGGCUCAUGUGUUCAGGCUAAAUGGCCACCACGCAACAUUCUGCCAUCCUUCCUUGUUGACCUAAACAGCAACGUGCAGGGGAAGAGGGAAGAAGGCAGCCGGCACAGCCCACGACGGGAUGGGAGCGGAAUCGGGUCUACGCAGCCACGCAGAAGCCCGGGCUGUGGUCCCUUCACCCACGGCAGCCCCGGGAAGCCGUUCGGCAGAGCGCUCGGAGGGGAGUCCGGGUUCGUCCGUUCUGCAAGUAGCCCCACUGUGUGUCGGGGCCCAUGCUGCGCCUGGAGAUCACAGCGGUGACCUGAACGAGCUCGGCUUCUUCCGGGGUAAAUGGGACGCAGCAUUCAUCAAGGAGCUGCAGAAACGCGCUUGGAGCUGCGAGCCGCGGGCAGGGGGUCACAGACGGAAGCGUGGGUGUAGGUCAGGGGGGCGCCGUGACACGGAGCAUAUAGGGGAGAACGCCCAAGGGGAGGGACCAUCAGGGUGGCAUCGCCGCACAGCCACACACCCGCCUGUGUGAGCUGCGGGCCGGGGUGGUGACCUACGCCCCUGUUCGGCAGGCACCCACAAGCAGGAAGGACAGUGACGCGCAGAGCAACGCUGGUCUAGUGGGAGGGUCCCCCUGACGCCUCUAAGCCGGCCCCACUCAGAGGCCUGGUCCUCAGGCCCGGUUCCGACCUCACAGCGGGCGUGCGUCAAAAUCGGCCCCGCGAACUGCAAGAGAAACCACGCCUAGGUGUUCUUAAGGAUCGAGUGCAGACGUAUAUGUAGGUGACAGCUUUUCGACAACCCAAAAAGACGCGAUCUUUAAAAAGGAAAGAGAAACAAACUGCGUGCAAAUGCUAGAGAUUCUUUGGCUGACAUUCACAUCCAACCCCUUCAUCUCUGGGUAAGAUGCGGCCACCCAGCCCUCCGGAUGCCAGCGCCAGCCCUGGGCCCCACAGCACGUCCCGCUUUCCACCCCCAGGCCCUGCUGCUCCUGGCUCUGGCACAGUCUUUUAGAGUCUGUCCGUGGGAUACUUUUUCUUCUGAACAUUGGGGAAAAUAUUUGUGCAUGACAAACAGGCUACGUGCGUGGUCACAAUUUUUGUAGGGAGGCGACCCUGCUUGCAACAAGCAGUGCAUUUGCAGCCCCGCGGCAUGGGUGAGGCAGCUCAGCACAGGAGCUAAAGCACACGGGCCCAGAUGCGACGCUCGUGGCUGGCAGUGACGUUGGUUCUGGCCUGAGAGCUCACUGGGCCGUCACGGGAGCAUCUCUGUGUGGAUCUCCACGGGAUUUCUCCACACGCUGUGGGCUCCAUUCUGAGAGGGAACAUUCCCGGAAACUCAAGCAGACGCUGCAUGGCCUCUUUUGACCUGAUCUCCGGAGCCUCCCAACGCCAUGCCCACUGCAUGCUGAUAGUCAAGUGCCUGGGAGGAGCCCCCCUCGAGGGAGAAGAACCAGAUCCCGCCUUUCCCGUGAAGAGCGGAAUCGGCUUCCAAGGUGUUCGUGGCGGUCACCCCAGAGACCAUCCACCUCUUCCCCUCCCUUGACUGGGGACAUUCCCAUUUCACAGGGAAAUUGCAAGAAAUAAACAAGGUAAUGUACAGGAAGCUCACUA
Molecule: long non-coding RNA, 2040 nt
Organism: Leopardus geoffroyi (Geoffroy's cat)
Lineage: Eukaryota; Metazoa; Chordata; Mammalia; Carnivora; Felidae
Exons: 2
Source: RefSeq, a predicted model, not a curated record